This 2208-nucleotide long non-coding RNA is filed under the name Citrus sinensis (sweet orange). RNAcentral's name for it is "long non-coding RNA (CSIN_LNC000033)". The record is from RNAcentral. Lineage: Eukaryota; Viridiplantae; Streptophyta; Magnoliopsida; Sapindales; Rutaceae.
CACAGAGAUGCUGCUCAAGAACGGCAAGCACAAGCUAGUAGGCUCGCCAGAGGUCCAAGCAUGAAUUCUUCAUCAAGGAGGGCUCCUAUGGAUUUUGGUCCUAGGGGUUUAUCUUUGGGCACUCCGAUAUUUAACAUAAUUUAUUACCUUUGUUUAGUGGUCUUAAUCUGGUGGUGGGUCCAGGUAUAAGGUAAACAGUGACAGGUUAGCUCUUCUCGUGUGUGCCAUGGUAUCACAUCUCAACAUUUGAUGAAUUGUUAUGAAAGCAAAAGUAAGACCGGAAAGAAAUGAAUUUAAGAGAAUGAAGGAAUGAAAUCAGGGGCCAAGCAGUAAUUAGCCUACGUCAAUGUAAGAUACUACAUGGAGAUCUGGAAAAUAACGCGGUUUCAGAUUCUGUUACAUCCCGAUAAGCAAAACUAAGAUUGAGGUUGAGUAACUUGAGUUAUGUAAUCUUGAGGAAAUGUUAAUAUCCUUUCUCAAGGCUAAGCAAAUCAUGUGUUUUGUGUUGUUCUUGUAUGUUAAUAUCCUUGGUUUAUUCGAGAUUUGUUUGAAAUGGUGUCACGCCAGGUGGUUUUCGGGUGAGUAAAUAGGUCUGGAUCGGCUCCGCCCAGGCCGGUGGCUUGGACAACGGCUUAAGAUUAAAAAAAAAAAAAAAGUGAGCCAAGCCUGGUCCUCUUUUUUUUUAAAAUAAAUAUAUAAGUAAUAAUAAAUUAAUAUCUGCUGUACCGUACAUCCGCCUUGGCCGUACAGCAGUAAAAUUAAUCAAACAUGAAAAAAAUAUCAAUUUGGAGUUUAAGGAAAAAAAAAAUAUAAUAUCAAAUGUAAAGACAGUUUUGACCAGCAGAGCAGUUGUACCAAAUAGGCAGUUAAGCAUAGUUUAAUUCAAAUUAUUUUCACAACCACAAGCUAUUUAUAAAAAAAAAAAAGUAAGAAAGAAAGAAAGCUGAAUAUCUAUCAGAUUGAUUCAACAAAGCACUACCAGCAAGAAUCAUGAUUACUCAAUGAAGCAUCCGUGCCAUUGUAAAAGAGAGUGUAUUUAUCAUAUAGAUAGAAUCGACAUAAUUUACAUGCACGCCACACUCUUUUUUCUUUAAUUUUUAUAGUUUUGUCUCCCAUGAGUUUUUCAUGAUGGGAUUUUAAUGAUAAAAUUUUACACUUACUUAAGAUACAAGUGAACGAUGAAUUCUGGUCACUUUUUUCUAGCAAAAGUUCUAACGCAACCUAUUCUCUGUAUAUGAUUUCUCUGUUAGAAUAGAUAUUAAAGCAGAGUGUUAUGAAUUUGAUGAAAUACCAUUGAUUUCAUAAACUACGACCAGUUGUAUCAAGUUGAGUACACCUUCAGGCUUCUCACGGUUGUACGGUGAGAUCUUUCAGCAUACAGCAGCGGCCGUGAAUUCUCAUGUUGAGUACCACUGCAUCAAGCAUCUUACCCCCAGAAUUUUUUUAAAUAGAUGUCGAUACCUUCAGAUGAUCGAUCACCCCAAGGCCAAAGAGCAUAUGGAUGCUUAUUUUGACAGAAUGGAAAAGUUGUCAAACAACAUGAAACUAUCUUCUAGGGUUAGGUUUAUGUUGAAGGAUUCAAUUGAGUUGAGAAAGAAUAAAUGGCAGCAGAGGAGGAAAGUUGAAGGGCCGAAAAAGAUCGAGGAAGUGCACAGAGAUGCUGCUCAAGAACGGCAAGCACAAGCUAGUAGGCUCGCCAGAGGUCCAAGCAUGAAUUCUUCAUCAAGGAGGGCUCCUAUGGAUUUUGGUCCUAGGGGUUUAUCUUUGGGCACUCCGAUAUUUAACAUAAUUUAUUACCUUUGUUUAGUGGUCUUAAUCUGGUGGUGGGUCCAGGUAUAAGGUAAACAGUGACAGGUUAGCUCUUCUCGUGUGUGCCAUGGUAUCACAUCUCAACAUUUGAUGAAUUGUUAUGAAAGCAAAAGUAAGACCGGAAAGAAAUGAAUUUAAGAGAAUGAAGGAAUGAAAUCAGGGGCCAAGCAGUAAUUAGCCUACGUCAAUGUAAGAUACUACAUGGAGAUCUGGAAAAUAACGCGGUUUCAGAUUCUGUUACAUCCCGAUAAGCAAAACUAAGAUUGAGGUUGAGUAACUUGAGUUAUGUAAUCUUGAGGAAAUGUUAAUAUCCUUUCUCAAGGCUAAGCAAAUCAUGUGUUUUGUGUUGUUCUUGUAUGUUAAUAUCCUUGGUUUAUUCGAGAUUUGUUUGAAAUGGUG